GCACCGAUAGCUCAAUUGGGUAGAGUGCCUGGCUUCGAACCAGGUUGUUAGGGGUUUGAGUCCUCUUCGGUGCA
This 74-nucleotide transfer RNA is filed under the name Haplopteris ensiformis. RNAcentral describes it as "tRNA-Arg". It matches the Rfam family "tRNA". Rfam says of the family: Transfer RNA (tRNA) molecules are approximately 80 nucleotides in length. Lineage: Eukaryota; Viridiplantae; Streptophyta; Polypodiopsida; Polypodiales; Pteridaceae. The record is from RNAcentral.